Molecule: ribosomal RNA, 486 nt
Filed under: uncultured bacterium
Lineage: Bacteria
Description: bacterial SSU rRNA
Rfam family: Bacterial small subunit ribosomal RNA
Source: RNAcentral
GAUGAACGCUAGCGGCAGGCUUAACACAUGCAAGUCGAGGGGUAUAGUUCUUCGGAACUAGAGACCGGCGCACGGGUGCGUAACGCGUAUGCAAUCUACCUUUUACAGAGGGGAUAGCCCAGAGAAAUUUGGAUUAAUACCUCAUAGUAUGUGAGAAUCGCAUGGUUUUCACAUUAAAGUUCCAACGGUAAAAGAUGAGCAUGCGUCCCAUUAGCUAGAUGGUAAGGUAACGGCUUACCAUGGCGACGAUGGGUAGGGGUCCUGAGAGGGAGAUCCCCCACACUGGUACUGAGACACGGACCAGACUCCUACGGGAGGCAGCAGUGAGGAAUAUUGGUCAAUGGGCGUAAGCCUGAACCAGCCAUCCCGCGUGAAGGAAGAAGGCGCUAUGCGUUGAAACUUCUUUCCAGGGGAAGAAACCCAUACGCGUAUUGGCUUGCCGGUACCCUGGGAAUAAGCAUCGGCUAACUCCGUGCCAGCAGCCGC